UGCAAAGGCAGACAUGGCAAAUGCACAUGUUUCAGAACAAGAACCCAAAGAUCAAAGGAUACUGGAGUUCCUCAUUUUCAGCAGAGAGCUGCAAGGAAGCUGAUAUGCAGAUGCACCAGGGGAACCAUUUGCAGCACAACCACUGGGACUAGUUAUGCCUGUAGCUCUCACUUCCACACAAAUACCAGGCAGUUCAGAGCUGAGAUUUCCCAAAGAUCUUUCACAUAAAUGCCAAACCAUAGUUCCUUUACAACACUGAUAAUCCCUCCCCGACUCCCAGGGGGAAAAUGGGUUGGAAAUAGGGCAUAAGGGAAUUAGGAUCUGUUCCUGGUUUGUUUUGCAAGGUGCUGUUUGGUAAACAUAAACAGUUUUCAAAAGACUCAGUAACUUGUUUUAAAGAAGAGCCGAGCAUUCACUGGGCUCAGAGUGGGGUCUUAUAGACUGGUUAAUUAUCUGCUGGGGCUUUAGUAACCCUAAGGAUCCUGUCACUGAAACCUGCAAUGAUUUAAAAUUAUCCUAAUCAUAAAAUGGAAGCCCCAUACACUGAGAUUAGCCCAGUGUGAUCCAGUCCCCAGACACAAGGUCACACUCAGUCCCAAUUUCUUUCAUUAGAACUUUUUUUUACCGUUGAUCCCGAUUUUCAGUGUCAUGGAGAAGGCUCUUGAGCAAGUGGUAGUUUCUUAGUCCAGAUUCACUCAGCCUGGUGCGGGAAAGUGUAAAUUGCAUCUCUCUGACAAGAAGGGAUCUGGCAUUGGAAGAGGAAAUUCACCAAGAGGGAACAUAGGUGGUGUGUCAACUACCGCUCUUCAUCAGGAUAGCUAUAAGAGAAGAGGAGUUUUAGUUUCCUUUGGUGGCUCCAUAGAAACCCUGACAAUGGAGGCUGGUGAAUGAGUGCGCCCUUCGGCUGCCCUGUCCAUAACCCUUUCCCCAACCCA
This is a long non-coding RNA of Dermochelys coriacea (leatherback sea turtle), 935 nucleotides long. RefSeq lists it as uncharacterized. The record is from RefSeq and is a predicted model, not a curated record. The transcript has 3 exons. Lineage: Eukaryota; Metazoa; Chordata; Testudines; Dermochelyidae.